This 253-nucleotide ribosomal RNA is filed under the name uncultured bacterium. RNAcentral describes it as "partial 16S ribosomal RNA". It matches the Rfam family "Bacterial small subunit ribosomal RNA", at positions 524 to 776 of the family's 1533-position model. The record is from RNAcentral.
UACGUAGGGUGCGAGCGUUAAUCGGAAUUACUGGGCGUAAAGCGUGCGCAGGCGGUUUGUUAAGUCCGUUGUGAAAGCCUCGAGCUCAACUUGGGAAUUGCAGUGGAUACUGGCAGGCUGGAGUACGGUAGAGGAAGGUGGAAUUCCCGGUGUAGCAGUGAAAUGCGUAGAUAUCGGGAGGAACACCAGUGGCGAAGGCGGCCUUCUGGACCAGUACUGACGCUCAUGCACGAAAGCGUGGGGAGCAAACAGG